This 501-nucleotide ribosomal RNA is filed under the name uncultured bacterium. RNAcentral's name for it is "bacterial SSU rRNA". It matches the Rfam family "Bacterial small subunit ribosomal RNA", at positions 30 to 527 of the family's 1533-position model. The record is from RNAcentral.
AUUGAACGCUGGCGGAAUGCUUUACACAUGCAAGUCGAACGGUAGAGGGGGCAACCCCUUGAGAGUGGCGAACGGGUGAGUAAUAUAUCGGAACGUGCCCAGUCGUGGGGAUAACGUAGCGAAAGUUACGCUAAUACCGCAUACGAUCUAAGGAUGAAAGCGGGGGACUCGCAAGAGCCUCGUGCGAUUGGAGCGGCCGAUAUCAGAUUAGGUAGUUGGUGGGGUAAAGGCUCACCAAGCCAACGAUCUGUAGCUGGUCUGAGAGGACGACCAGCCACACUGGAACUGAGACACGGUCCAGACUCCUACGGGAGGCAGCAGUGGGGAAUUUGGACAAUGGACGCAAGUCUGAUCCAGCCAUUCCGCGUGCAGGAUGAAGGCCCUCGGGUUGUAAACUGCUUUUGUACGGAACGAAAAGGUUUCUAAUUAAUACUAGGAGCUCAUGACGGUACCGUAAGAAUAAGCACCGGCUAACUACGUGCCAGCAGCCGCGGUAAAGUG